Non-coding RNA from Rattus norvegicus (Norway rat), 4529 nucleotides. The record is from RefSeq and is a predicted model, not a curated record. NCBI's taxonomy places the organism in Eukaryota, Metazoa, Chordata, Mammalia, Rodentia, Muridae.
AUGCAAAGCUGAGGGAGUCAGAAUUAGCAUUGUUAGGUAAUAGGUGGUAGGAUCAACAUUUGUGAAGGGAAGUCCUGAGAAGCUGCAUGUAGCUGUGGAGGUGAAGUUUAAGGUGUAAUUAAGCCAGGAUGCUGGAGAUGCCAGUGUCAAAUCAUAUUUAAACACUGUGAAAUCAGAUGUUUAUAUGACAAGAUUGCACAUAUAAUGCUUCUAACCAAGGUAACAGGUAAGAGAAGCUUGAUAAAAUUUCGCAGUUAUAAUUAUUUGAAUAGUUACUUGCUUAUGAUAAGAUAACACAGUUGUCUAUUACCAACAUUAUUGUUCUUUAGUGUGCUAUCUUUCUGAGUUUGAUAAAACACCUAAGUGGAUCUUAUUAAAAUGAUUUAAGUGAUGAUAUUAUUCUAAAUUAUACAUACUUAAAGUUCAAUAAUUACCUUCUGAUAGAAUAUAUAUUGUCUUCUUUUGCUUCACUUAAAAGCAUUAAAUGAACACGUGAAGUUACUUAUAUAGUUUUUAAAUGUUUUUAUAAACAAGUCUUAAACCUAGCCUUGCAGACUUAUUUUCUUUUUAUAUUCAUAUAUUUUUUUGGAAUCUGGAGACCUAGAAUUAGAAGCUAAUAAUCCCUCCAUGUUUGUUCUAGAAUAUAAAAGGAUUUGAAGAUUAUAUUCUAUUACUUUCUUCCUAAUAGAAUGGUCAGAUUAAAAUGUUGUAAAUAAGUUUUUAAUCCAAUGUCAAUUAGUGUUGAGCAAAGAGUAUACAAAUCAUUAGUCUCUUUAUAGCCUACAUUGGUUAUUAUUAAAUAACACCCUGGGGGAAGAGCUUUUGGGAUCCAUAACUAGAAAUACACCAUUCUAGAGAAUGCUACUUAUGAAAGGUAAGGGCCUGUGGCUGGAGUCUCAUGAACAGGAAGAAAUUAUGAAAAACUUCAGUUGCCCCUUCAAUUUUUUGGUUUGUUGUUUAUUAUAAUUACAUGAAAAAUGGCACAUAUGAUUUUUUAUUUAAUAACUUUCGUCUUUGGCAAUUUUGUGCACAAACAUAAUGCAUUUUUGAUUGCCUUCAUGCUUCCUCUUACUUAUUCUUUUCAUCCCUGUCUGUCUAUGACAACGUCAGUUUGUAUGUAUUCUUUGCUGAUGGUCUCACCAGUGGGUGCCCAAUACCAGACAGAGACUGCUCCUCUCAUGGAACUAUCAAUAAUUCAGAUUAGAGGUGUAAAAGCAACAAGCCCCUCCAGGAUCAUUAAUUGGUUAUUAGCAAACUAUUUCAUACCCCCUUGAUAACAUGCCUCAGCACUUCUAUUUCCAUCUUUUAAAAUCUGUUCACUCUUUCGGAUAUUUUCCCUGAACUCUAGGUGAGGUGGUUUACUGUCUUGAUUAGGGCUCAGUCCUCAGUUAUCACCAAUUUUCAGCAUCCUGAAUCAGCCAUGAGUGUGAAUUCUUCCUGUUCAGUGAACAGUUGUUCUGAAAAAUUGGCAUAAUAUCAAACAUUUUUUCUAAAUAUCUAAAUUUAGUCUCAAAGACGGAUGCUACUCUCGGCCUUAAACAGAUGUGGGAUAUUGGAUCUGGGAGGAUUUGGCAGAAAAGAAGCUUUGAUCAAAAUAUACUACUGGAAAGAUAUAAUACAUUAUGAUAGGAUUUAUGCCAUGUUUCCUAAAUAUUGCACAUUUUCUAGUUAAGUAUAUUUAAAUACACUACAAUAUUCACUAUUAAUUUGCUUCCUGCACUGCUGAAUUGUUUGUCUCUGGAGGAAAAAAAUCAUUCCUCUACUCUUUUGUCACUAUUAUCUCAUAAUUAUUGCAUCAUUCUUGAUAUGUUACAUGGAUUUUCCAUCUACGAAGUCCCAAAAACUAUAUAAACUAUUUUAACUUACAUAUGUAAUUCUGAAACUGGAAUUUUUUAGAGUGAAAUACAUUUUUAAAAAAUUUUAUUGGAUAUUUCAUUUAUUUACAUUUCAAAUGUUAUCCCCCUUCCUGGUUUACCUUCCACAAACCUCCUAUCUCAUCCUCACUCAUCCUGCUUCUGUAUAGUGCUCCCCUACCAUAAAAUAGAUUUAAAAUAUAGUAGUAAACUCAGUGAUGGAAAAUAAACAGAAGUAGCUUUAAAUUCAUAUUCAUUAGUUAAUUCAAAAUUAUUGAAAUAUGUAUAAGAUAAUGCAAUCAAGCCUUAUUUUGUGGGAAUUUCAGUUGGUAUUUUAGAUUAAUAUAAAAUUAAUAUUCACUACUAAUAAUUCCUUUAUGAGUUAAGGUUUUUUUAAGCUUGAUGUUUUCAUUUUAUUGAAAACUAUCAAAUUAUACUAGUUCCUAGGAGGUAGUGUCACACCUUAUAUAGAAAAGGAGGGGUAAUGGAUAAUUGAGUCCACUCAUACUAUUAAGGAGUAGUCUAGGUAUUAUUUUUCUAUGUCAUUAUAAAGAGACUAAAGUCAUUUAGAAAAGAGCACUAUAAAUUUCUCUAGGUUACCCAUCCUCCAUCUUUUGCCAAUGACUUAUCUCUUUUUUAGACAUUCACUAUAAUAAAAUGGGUCAUGUGGAUUUAAGAGAAGUUGCAACUGAUAACCAACUGUUCAUACGCUCCCCUGUCUUUUCUUUCACAUUAUCUUACCCGCUCCCCCACCCCACUUAGCUUCCCCUUCCUCUUACCUUUCCAGAUCCCUCUAUCCAUCUACCUCCUGUAAUUAUUUUGGUCCCCCUUUAUGACUAAAGCAUCCACACUUUGGUUUUUCUUCUUGAGUUUCACAUGGUCUGUGGGUUGUAUUAUGGACAUUUCAAGAUUUGGACUACCAUCCACUUAUCAGUGAAUACAUACCAUGUGUGUUUGUUUUAUUGUGAUUAGGUUACCUCACUCUGGAAGAUAUUUUCUAUUUUCAUCUAUUUGCCUGUGAAUUUGAUGAAGUCAUUGUUUUUAAUAGUUGUAUAAUACUCCAUUUUGUAAAUGUACCACAUUUCUGUAUCUUUCCUCAGUUGAGGGACAUCUUGGUUUUUCCCAGCUUCUGGUUAUUAUAAAUAAGGCUGCUAUAAACAUGGUUGAGCAUGUGUCCUUGUUAUAUGUUGGAGCAUUUUUGGGUAUAUGCACAGGAAUUGUAUAGCUGGGUAAUCAGGUAGAAAUAUUUUCCAUUUUCUGAGGAGCCAUUAGCUUGUUUUCCAGAGUAGUUGUACCAGCUUGCAUUUCCACCAGCAAGGGAAGUGUGUUCCUCCUUCUCCACAUCCUCGACAGCAUCUGCUUUACAACUUCAAUGGACACCGGCUGGUCAAGUAAAUACUAAAGGUUCCCAGUGAUCUGAUCCCUGGUUCUGAUGUCUACAAGCAAAUGCCUACACACAGUUGCAUACAUGCAGAAGGAGGUCUUCCUGGUUGCUGCCGCUGCAGAGAGCCCCUGGGCAGCACCCCACGAGCGAACUUGAGCCUCGGGACCACAGGUAAGACCAAAAUUUCUGCUGCACGAAAGCUGCCUGGUGAGCUUGGGACACACGGAAGCAGAAUUUCUCUAGGACCGGGCACGUUCUGUGUUUAGCGGAAGUCCCACACCCGCGGAUCCCGGCCCGCAGCAGCUCUCUGCUCCCAGACCCGGUGAGAGAGAGACCCAACCACCUGGUCAGGUGGGCACUCCUGAGGCUGCAGAGCGGAAGAGACCACCAACACUGCUCACCCCUGCCCACAUCCCUGGCCCAAGAGGAAACUGUAUAAGGCCUCUGGGCUCCCGUGGGGGAGGGCCCAGGAGCGGCAGGACCCCUGUGCCUGAGAAACCGCCGGAACCUGAAAGAAACAGACCUGAUAAACAGUUCUCUGCACCCAAAUCCCGUGGGAGGGAGAGCUAAACCUUCAGAGAGGCAGACAAGCCUGGGAAACCAGAAGAGACUGCUCCCUGCACACACAUCUCGGACGCCAGAGGAAAAAGCCAAAGACCAUCUGGAACCCUGGUGCACUGAAGCUCCCGGAAGGGGCGGCACAGGUCUUCCUGAUUGCUGCCGCUGCAGAGAGCCCGUGGGCAGCACCCCAUGAGCGAACUUGAGCCUCAGGACCACAGGUAAGACCAAAUUUUCUGCUGCAAGAAAGCUGCCUGGUGAACUCAAGACACAGGCCCACAGGAACAGCUGAAGACCUGGAGAGAGGAAAAACUACACGCCCGAAAGCAGAACACUCUGUCCCCAUAACUGACUGAAAGAGAGGAAAACAGGUCUACAGCACUCCUGACACACAGGCUUAUAGGACAGUCUAGCCACUGUCAGAAAUAGCAGAACAAAGUAACACUAGAGAUAAUCUGAUGGCGAGAGGCAAGCGCAGGAACCCAAGCAACAGAAACCAAGACUACAUGGCAUCAUCGGAGCCCAAUUCUCCCACCAAAGCAAACACGGAAUAUCCAAACACACCAGAAAAGCAAGGUCUAGUUUCAAAAUCAUAUUUGAUCAUGAUGCUGGAGGACUUCAAGAAAGACAUGAACACACUUAGGGAAGCACAGGAAAACAUUAAUAAACAAGUAAAAGCCUACAGAGAGGAAUCGCAAAAAUCCCUGAAAGAAUUCCAGGAAAACACAAACAAA